This 424-nucleotide ribosomal RNA is filed under the name uncultured Saprospirales bacterium. RNAcentral's name for it is "bacterial SSU rRNA". It matches the Rfam family "Bacterial small subunit ribosomal RNA", at positions 355 to 776 of the family's 1533-position model. Lineage: Bacteria; Pseudomonadati; Bacteroidota; Saprospiria; Saprospirales. The record is from RNAcentral.
UAAGGAAUAUUGGACAAUGCCCGCAAGGGUGAUCCAGCCAUCCCGCGUGCAGGAAGAAUGCCCUAUGGGUUGUAAACUGCUUUUGUAAGGGAAGAAACCCCCUGAUGCGUUAGGGGUUGACGGUACCUUAAGAAUAAGCACCGGCUAACUCCGUGCCAGCAGCCGCGGUAAUACGGAGGGUGCAAGCGUUAUCCGGAAUCACUGGGUUUAAAGGGUGCGUAGGCGGCUAAAUAAGUCAGAGGUGAAAUGCUACGGCUUAACUGUGGAAUUGCCUUUGAAACUAUAUAGCUAGAAUAGAGUUGAGGUUGGCGGAAUGUGACAUGUAGCGGUGAAAUGCAUAGAUAUGUCAUAGAACAUCGAUUGCGAAGGCAGCUAACUGGGCUUUUAUUGACGCUGAGGCACGAAAGCGUGGGGAUCAAACAGG